AAUCAACGCUGGCGGCGUGCCUCAGACAUGCAAGUCGAACGCUGCUGUUCGCCUUCGGGUGGACAGCGGAGUGGCGCACGGGUGAGUAACACGUAGGUAAUCUACCUUUGGGUGGGGAAUAACAGCCGGAAACGGCUGCUAAUACCGCGUAAUGCAGCGGCAUCACAUGAUGACAGUUGUUAAAGCGAGGGAUCGUAAGACCUCGCGCCUGAAGAGGAGCCUGCGGCAGAUUAGGUAGUUGGUGAGGUAAUGGCUCACCAAGCCUGCGAUCUGUAACCGGCCUGAGAGGGCGGUCGGUCACACUGACACUGACAUACGGGUCAGACUCCUACGGGAGGCAGCAGUCGGG
Molecule: ribosomal RNA, 349 nt
Filed under: uncultured bacterium
Lineage: Bacteria
Description: bacterial SSU rRNA
Rfam family: Bacterial small subunit ribosomal RNA
Source: RNAcentral